Molecule: long non-coding RNA, 1519 nt
Organism: Panicum hallii
Lineage: Eukaryota; Viridiplantae; Streptophyta; Magnoliopsida; Poales; Poaceae
Exons: 7
Source: RefSeq, a predicted model, not a curated record
GCAGCACGUAAGCAGCUACCGGUCGCCAAGGUCGCCACCGCUGCCGGUUCGUGGAGCCAUUCCAGGUCGUGAAGCCCUCUCCUACACAACGCAGAUUUGAGGAGCUGCUCCAGAUCUGGAACUCAGCCAUUGGAUUGAAUUAGGAUGGGGCAAGAAGCGUAGAAAUCCAAGUGGUGUUGCCACUCUGCUUUUAAAGGAGUGCUUCCCUGGGCUUGUCAACUACAAUGGAAGGAUAGAACCUCCGUGGACAUGGGAGCAUUAUGCUGCUGCUCCAGAUGCUCCUGAUGAGCAUGGAGUUGAAUACAACAAUUGUUUAGAGCGGGUGGAGGAAAGAUUCUGGCAAUAUUAUCGAUGGGCAACUGAUAUCGAAGAUACUGAAGCUGAAAAAGCACGGAAGGAGCGGGAGGCUAGGAGAGUUUUGCAUAAAGUUAUCAAGAACAAGAUCGGACAACUUUACUAUGAAGAGCGUAAAACGGUUGUGGUUUUUUAUUAUGCACGAUUUAAAAAGGAGAAAAUAACUAGGAUGCAAGCUUGCGGUAUAAGAUUAACUGAAGCACAAUAUAUGCAGGCAAUACCACCCUGGGCGGCCCCUUACUCUGAUUGUUGGCUUCAAAUUGUGUGACAAAAAUGGUGCAAUAAUGAAUGGCACGAGAAAUCUAAUAGUUGCAGAGGACGAAGAUCCUUGAUGAGUGGGCUAGCACAUCGUCAGGGAAGUUGUGCCUUUCCUCGUUACAAAAGAAAAAUGGCGGAGAAAGAGAAGAGACCUGUGUCUGAUUUUGGCUGCAUAGGUAGCGUCUAGAAAUGGAUCUGAAAAUAGUGUAUUGUGCAAUGAUCGGGCACAAGAAAUCUUGGUAAUAAUAGACUUGCAUCAGUUAUUUUCUUUGUGUGGUUACAUUUCUCUUUUAUUGUGUCAUGGUGACAAUGUUUCUAAUAGAAAAAGUAUACUGAAGUUGCAAAGAAGAAGCAUGGUUCAGAUUUUGAUGUGAUGAAUGAACCACUUGAUCCGGAUGUUGUGUACAAGAUUGGCUGUGGCAAAAAACAUGGACGUCAUGUCCUUGCUAAUGGCUAUAUUGACUCACGGGGAAGUGCUUCUCAAAAUCGAUCAUCAAUGAGUUCUGAUCAUUUGAAGAUGUGCGUCCUCCAAGACGGAUAAGGACAUCAGUUGAUAGAAUUGGUAAACUUGAGAAGAACGUGCAAGAGAUACGCCAGAUGCUCAAUUCCCUAGUUCAGAAUCAGAACCAAAAUCUUGUGGCAAACAAUAGCACAACAGUAGGAGGUACUCAAGCGAGCACUCCAGGAACUGCAGCUUCAGUUGGAAACAACACUAUUGCCAAUUUGAAUAAUCCACAACAAGAGCAUCAGGAUGAGUGCAAUGAUGAUGCGGUGAUGUAAUAUGCAGGUUUAAUGCAAACACAUGUCUUAGUUUCUAUUUGUGACCUUGACGAACUGCAAAUCUGUUGGUAUGACAACAUAUGUGUGUGUUGGAUGUUUGCAAAUUACUUUCUAUGAAACUACUUGA